GACGAACGCUGGCGGCGUGCUUAACACAUGCAAGUCGUACGGUAAGGCCCUUUCGGGGGUACACGAGUGGCGAACGGGUGAGUAACACGUGAGUAACCUGCCCACAACUUUGGGAUAACGCUAGGAAACUGGUGCUAAUACUGGAUAUGUGCCCCUGCUGCAUGGUGGGGGUUGGAAAGCUCCGGCGGUUGUGGAUGGACUCGCGGCCUAUCAGCUUGUUGGUGGGGUAGUGGCCUACCAAGGCGGCGACGGGUAGCCGGCCUGAGAGGGUGACCGGCCACAUUGGGACUGAGAUACGGCCAGACUCCUACGGGAGGCAGCAGUGGGGAAUAUUGCACAAUGGGCGCAAGCCUGAUGCAGCAACGCCGCGUGCGGGAUGACGGCCUUCGGGUUGUAAACCGCUUUCAGCAGGGACGAAGCUUUUUGUGACGGUACCUGCAGAAGAAGCACCGGCUAACUACGUG
This 464-nucleotide ribosomal RNA is filed under the name uncultured bacterium. RNAcentral's name for it is "partial 16S ribosomal RNA". It matches the Rfam family "Bacterial small subunit ribosomal RNA", at positions 28 to 507 of the family's 1533-position model. The record is from RNAcentral.